RNAcentral lists this unclassified non-coding RNA (136 nucleotides) under uncultured Sordariomycetes. RNAcentral's name for it is "sequence contains ITS1". Lineage: Eukaryota; Fungi; Ascomycota; Sordariomycetes. The record is from RNAcentral.
CCGAGUUAUACAACUCCCAAACCCCUGUGAACAUACCUACGUUGCUUCGGCGGACCGCCCCGGCGCCCGCCGAGGGACCAAACUCUUGCUUUCGCUUUAGUGGAAUUUCCUUCUGAGUCAAACAAGUAAAUAAUCA